CAUGCGCCUGACCAGGGAUUGAACCCACAACCUAGCACACAGGAUGAAAAUUGACUGAAUUCUCAGCUUGUUGUAGCUUUCAUGAACACUAGAUGGCACUCUUGCUCAACUGAAAUCUAGUUUCUCAAUCAUAUUUUAGUGCUGUGGGCCUUAGAAGAAUUGAGUAUGCAACUUAAAAAUGCUUAUGUUUCCAUUUUGUUUUAAAGAAGGGAAUUUGGGGAGAAAGAGGAAGUUUCCAAGUGUAAAUAGCAGAGCUUAACUGGUUCAAUUUUUCCAUUCAUCCAAAAAUCACCAUGUUAAUAAUGAUACCAGUCAUUUAUUCCACAAACAUUUAUUAUGCACUUACUAUCUUUAGGCACUGUUCUUGGCAUUACAUACAUCAGUGGGCAAAGGGAUAAAAAUCUCUACCCUCAUAGAUCCUAUAUUCCAGUGCUUGGAUUUUUCCCCCCAGGUGCCAUUCUAAGCUCAUACUUGCAUCAUCCAUUAACUUACCCAUUUAAUAAGAAGCCAAAGCACAGAAAAGUUAUCUAACUUGCCCCUGUUCACCUAGUUAAUGUAGGUGUAAGAGCUGGGAUUCAAAGUGAGGCAUUUGGUCUCUGGAGUUCUAGUAAUCUCAAUACUGUACUGCCUCUCAAAAACUGAAGAAUAUUUUAUUAUUGAUUCUGUUGGAUGCAAAUAAUAAAGUCACCUAUCUUACCUAAUAAUAGACA
Long non-coding RNA from Myotis davidii, 710 nucleotides. RefSeq lists it as uncharacterized. The transcript has 2 exons. The record is from RefSeq and is a predicted model, not a curated record. NCBI's taxonomy places the organism in Eukaryota, Metazoa, Chordata, Mammalia, Chiroptera, Vespertilionidae.